ACGGGAAUCUUAACGAUGACUGUAUUGGAUGAGUACACUUUAAAUCCUUUAACAAGGACCUAUUGGAGGGCAAGUUCUGGUGCCAGCAGCCGCGGUAACUCCAGCUCCAAUAGCGUAUAUUAAUGUUGUUGCGGUUAAAACGUUCGUAGUUGAACUUGUGCUUCAUACGGGUAGUACAACUAUAAUUUUAGAUUGUGCUAUACCUUAUGUAUGUAAGCGUAUUACCGGUGGGGUUCUUAUAUGCAAAUGUAAUACUUGUAUUCUUUUGUAUAUUCCUCCUAUUUAAACCUGCCUCAAUGCUCUUCAUCGGGUGUUGUUGCGGGCCGGUACAAUUACUUUGAACAAAUUAGAGUGCUUAAAGCAGGCUCCAAAUGCCUGAAUAUUUUGUGCAUGGAAUAAUGGAAUAAGACCUCUGUUCUACUUUCAUUGGUUUUUAGAUCAAGAGGUAAUGAUUAAUAGAAGCAGUUUGGGGGCAUUAGUAUUACGACGCGAGAGGUGAAAUUCUUGGACCGUCGUAAGACUAACUUAAGCGAAAGCAUUUGCCAAAGAUGUUUUCAUUAAUCAAGAACGAAAGUUAGGGGAUCGAAGA
RNAcentral lists this ribosomal RNA (589 nucleotides) under Melophagus ovinus. RNAcentral describes it as "SSU rRNA". It matches the Rfam family "Eukaryotic small subunit ribosomal RNA", at positions 485 to 1004 of the family's 1831-position model. Lineage: Eukaryota; Metazoa; Arthropoda; Insecta; Diptera; Hippoboscidae. The record is from RNAcentral.